GACGAACGCUGGCGGCGUGCCUAAUACAUGCAAGUAGAACGCUGAAGAGAGGAGCUUGCUCUUCUUGGAUGAGUUGCGAACGGGUGAGUAACGCGUAGGUAACCUGCCUUGUAGCGGGGGAUAACUAUUGGAAACGAUAGCUAAUACCGCAUAACAAUGGAUGACACAUGUCAUUUAUUUGAAAGGGGCAAUUGCUCCACUACAAGAUGGACCUGCGUUGUAUUAGCUAGUAGGUGAGGUAAUGGCUCACCUAGGCGACGAUACAUAGCCGACCUGAGAGGGUGAUCGGCCACACUGGGACUGAGACACGGCCCAGACUCCUACGGGAGGCAGCAGUAGGGAAUCUUCGGCAAUGGGGGAAACCCUGACCGAGCAACGCCGCGUGAGUGAAGAAGGUUUUCGGAUCGUAAAGCUCUGUUGUAAGUCAAGAACGGGUGUGAGAGUGGAAAGUUCACACUGUGACGGUAGCUUACCAGAAAGGGACGGCUAACUACGUG
This 497-nucleotide ribosomal RNA is filed under the name uncultured bacterium. RNAcentral describes it as "partial 16S ribosomal RNA". It matches the Rfam family "Bacterial small subunit ribosomal RNA", at positions 28 to 507 of the family's 1533-position model. The record is from RNAcentral.